Long non-coding RNA from Hipposideros armiger (great roundleaf bat), 354 nucleotides. RefSeq lists it as uncharacterized. NCBI's taxonomy places the organism in Eukaryota, Metazoa, Chordata, Mammalia, Chiroptera, Hipposideridae. The transcript is spliced from 3 exons. The record is from RefSeq and is a predicted model, not a curated record.
GAAAGGUGGGGAAUGGACCUGAGACCAGGGGUUGGAAAACUGCAGCUCCGGAGCCACAUGCGGCUCUUUGGUUCUCAUCCACAUGAGCAUGGGCUUCAUGAUACUCGCCCUGACCCUGUGUCUCAUCCUCCUUCUCAUCAUGGGCCUCUCCUUCCGGCCAGUCUUCCGCCGCCUUAACAAGAUAGACCUUGUCUUCAGUUUCCUCAGCUUCAGCAUUGGAGCCCUGAGUUACUUAAACCAUGCGGGCAUGUGGAGCGAAAGGACCAUCUCCUUGGAGUGGCAGGUGAGCUUUCGCAGGUGGACCUUGCAGCAGAGCUCCCUGAGAGGCUCGUUCAAACAGCGGUCAGAUGCAGA